RNAcentral lists this long non-coding RNA (1361 nucleotides) under Olea europaea subsp. europaea. The record is from RNAcentral. Lineage: Eukaryota; Viridiplantae; Streptophyta; Magnoliopsida; Lamiales; Oleaceae.
CGGCAUCUUUCUUGCCUUUUCAUUUCUUAUCUACACAGUCUCCAUUUUGCUGCUCAUAAUCCAGCCAUACCUCCGAAGUCUACAGCGCCAACACCAUCGAUUUGGCCACACCUUCAUUCUAGAUUUGGCCAUUUUCGAUUUCGCCGCACAUUUGUUCCGACCAUUGCCUCGAAAUUAUGACAGAAAAGGUAAAAGCUGAAAUUUACUGUAAAAUCUAAAAUUAUUUUUGAAAUUUGUUUUAAAAUCUAGGAAGAGAAAUGAGUUCAAAUCUCUAUUUUCGUUGUGUUUGAAAUGCUAAGUAAGAUUUAUGAAGCUGUAAAUGUUGGAAAUGCUGUGUCGCACCAUCAUCUUUCUUUGUAACUUUCUUCAAAUUUGGGAAAAAAAUUUAUCAAAUCUAAAAACUUUUCCUCUUUCCAGCCACACUGUUUUUAGUUGCUAUCGAUUUUCUUCAAGUAUGUUCCAUAUCUUUUGAUAAGGGGAUUAUUUGUAUCUGGGUUCAAUCUUUUUAUGUUUGUUGUGUGAUUCCUUUUUUUUUUUUUCUUUUUAAUGACGGGAAAGCUUCAGAACAACUAGAACUCUUCAAAGUUAGAGUAGAGUAAUUUUGCUCUGUGAAUUUGAUGUAUAGGAUGAUGCGUGUAGAUAAAUCUCCAUUUUCAUUGUGUGUGAAAUCUGAAAUUUUAUUUGAUUUGAAGUAUAAAUAUGAUACUUAUUUUCAGCAGAAUAGGCAGGAAUUUGUUAAGUAGAAACAUGAUGAUUUUGUUAAUUCCAUGGAAGUUUCUCCUGUAGACAACGUACUCAUAAGAAGCCCAAUUUGUAUAUGUUAUAAACGACCAUAACUGAAUAUGUUGCAUCAAUCAGCUUUUUGUCGCAGGAAAAGAAAUUUUGGACGAUGUUGAAACCGUUAUGUUGGUGGAGUCCGAUGACGAGAAUGAUCUUGAAAAUACAAAAUUGCUGGGUCAUGGCGCAACAUGAUGGAAUGGUGUGACUGUGACUGUACCUGAGGUGGGUGAUGUGAUCUCGUUAAUUUGUGUGUUUUAAGUAAUAUUCAACGGUUUUUAUCUUGUACUUAUUGUAAUAAUUGUUGACAACGUAGUUUUCAUUUUUGAGGUAUAGAACUGUCUGAGUUUUGUUCUCGAGCAUAAAGGGAAGAAUGGUUGUGGGAGACUCUUCAAGGAAAAUUGGAGGCAAACUCGUAGAGGGGUUCUGUAUACAUAUAUUGUUUAAUGGUUGGUCCAGGAGAACUUCUGUGCUUCAUGUUUUGUGAGUUAUUAGCGCUUGUGAGCAAGGUGAGUUAAUGUAUUGGAUGCUGAAGAAUAUUGGAAACUAUGUAGAUUGGAUGCUCAUAUUAUCUCAAGUGUUAC